CGCAACGAAGCCAGUUAGGGUAGAACAAGUAACUAGGGCUAAGUCGUAACAAGGUAGCCGUACCGGAAGGUGCGGCUGGAUCACCUCCUUUCUGGAGCUU
Molecule: ribosomal RNA, 100 nt
Filed under: Hymenobacter amundsenii
Lineage: Bacteria; Pseudomonadati; Bacteroidota; Cytophagia; Cytophagales; Hymenobacteraceae
Description: partial 16S ribosomal RNA
Rfam family: Bacterial small subunit ribosomal RNA
Source: RNAcentral